RNAcentral lists this ribosomal RNA (446 nucleotides) under uncultured bacterium. RNAcentral describes it as "bacterial SSU rRNA". It matches the Rfam family "Bacterial small subunit ribosomal RNA", at positions 330 to 792 of the family's 1533-position model. The record is from RNAcentral.
GCCAGACUCCUACGGGAGGCAGCAGUGGGGGAUAUUGCACAAUGGGGGGAACCCUGAUGCAGCGACGCCGCGUGGGUGAAGGAGUAUUUCGGUAUGUAAAGCCCUAUCGGCAGGGAAGAAGCAAGACGGUACCUGACUAAGAAGCCCCGGCUAACUACGUGCCAGCAGCCGCGGUAAUACGUAGGGGGCAAGCGUUAUCCGGAAUUACUGGGUGUAAAGGGAGCGUAGACGGUGAUGCAAGUCUGGAGUGAAAGGCGGGGGCCCAACCCCCGGACUGCUCUGGAAACUGUAUGACUUGAGUGCAGGAGAGGUAAGCGGAAUUCCUAGUGUAGCGGUGAAAUGCGUAGAUAUUAGGAGGAACACCAGUGGCGAAGGCGGCUUACUGGACUGUAACUGACGUUGAGGCUCGAAAGCGUGGGGAGCAAACAGGAUUAGAUACCCCUGUA